AAUUGCGAUAAGUAAUGUGAAUUGCAGAAGUCAGUGAAUCAUCGAAUCUUUGAACGCAUCUUGCGCCCUUUGGUAUUUCUUAGGGCAUGCCUGUUUGAGUGUCACGAAUACUAUUUGGACCAAGUCUUUUUUCUUCAUGUUAAUCGACGAGGCUCCAGCGUUGAGCGUCUGCCUCGCCCUUGGGCCUGGCUCGCUUUAAAUGUAUUAGCUGGGUCGGCUGGUUGCAGUCUUCACCUUUGGUAUGAUAAGUAUUAUGCCGUCGGUUGAGGGUAGCGCCGUUCUAUAGUCGCCUGCUUCUAAUCUAGGAGUGGCAUCGAAACUCGCUGUGCUUGCACGGCCUGGGACGAUGCUUCCUCGCACUAUAUUCAAAUCUGGCCUCAAAUCAGGUAGGACUACCCGCUGAACUUAAGCAUAUCAAUAAGCGGAGGAAAAGAAACUAACAAGGAUUCCCCUAGUAACGGCGAGUGAAGAGGGAAGAGCCCAAGUUUGAAAGCUGGCGUUUGUAUUCAGGCGUCCGCAUUGUAAACUCGAGAAGCGUCUUCCGUGC
Molecule: ribosomal RNA, 547 nt
Filed under: uncultured fungus
Lineage: Eukaryota; Fungi
Description: eukaryotic LSU rRNA
Rfam family: Eukaryotic large subunit ribosomal RNA (bases 373-547)
Source: RNAcentral